RNAcentral lists this ribosomal RNA (497 nucleotides) under uncultured bacterium. RNAcentral describes it as "partial 16S ribosomal RNA". It matches the Rfam family "Bacterial small subunit ribosomal RNA", at positions 28 to 507 of the family's 1533-position model. The record is from RNAcentral.
GACGAACGCUGGCGGCGUGCCUAAUACAUGCAAGUUGAGCGCUGAAGGUUGGUACUUGUACCAACUGGAUGAGCAGCGAACGGGUGAGUAACGCGUGGGGAAUCUGCCUUUGAGCGGGGGACAACAUUUGGAAACGAAUGCUAAUACCGCAUAAAAACUUUAAACACAAGUUUUAAGUUUGAAAGAUGCAAUUGCAUCACUCAAAGAUGAUCCCGCGUUGUAUUAGCUAGUUGGUGAGGUAAAGGCUCACCAAGGCGAUGAUACAUAGCCGACCUGAGAGGGGGAUCGGCCACAUUGGGACUGAGACACGGCCCAAACGCCUACGGGAGGCAGCAGUAGGGAAUCUUCGGCAAUGGACGAAAGUCUGACCGAGCAACGCCGCGUGAGUGAAGAAGGUUGUCGGAUCGUAAAAAUCUGUUGGUAGAGAAGAACGUUGGUGAGAGUGGAAAGCUCAUCAAGUGACGGUAACUACACAGAAAGGGACGGCUAACUACGUG